CCGUCUGCCGCCAGCGAGCGCCAGGUGCGGAGCGGGCGUUAGAAGUUGCUGGCAGUCAGAGGCAGGGGAGCUGUCACUCGCGGCGAGCCGGGCGGCGGCCAGGGCGCAAAGUUGAGAGCAGUCUCUAGUCUGAGCCUUUCAGUCGCCUUCCAGUAUCAUCAGUACCACGGGCUCCACCUUGCUGCGGCCCCUCAGCAACCCAGUGCACCUGCCACUCGACCAGAGGGAAAGCAGUCAGGAGUGGGAGGCCUCUGAACAAGCUGUAUUUUGUGUAGCCGCCAGCUUCCAUCUUUCUCCAGGCAGAACGCUGGCCCUCAGCACAUCUUUCUGCUUCCCCUCGGUCAGACCACCGAGAACUGCCGCUGUCCUGUCUGACUCCUCCUGUUUUGGUACUAGACCCCAGAUGAGGAUCUCAGGAAGAUCCACAAAGCUGCGUCCAGGGGAACGAACGUGUGGAAGCUGCAGCGGAGCCUCCUGCUCAAGAGUAAAGGACCGGUCUGAAACCUACAAGAACAGAUUCUCACAGUAGACGAGGAGCCUGUUUUUCAGCUAGCUGCUGCAAGGAGCUGGACAUUUCUCCCUUCAAAUAGGACCUGGAAGGCCUGGAAGCAUCUGGAGAAGGGCAUGGCUGUGAGUAGAGAAACAGAGGAUACAGGCUAAAGCAGGAGGAAGCGAGAGGACUCACGGAAAGCCUUGCUGCACUCUCCAAAAGAGCUGCCCUUUUCACGUGAAGAGCUAUGUGAUCGGAUCCCCGGUUUGGCAGAGUAGACAUGCGAGAAGACUGAACGUUUCAUCGUUGAAACCUCUUAAAGGUGGAAUGUGUGGCAGAAAGAACGUCUGAGAAGCUCACGCGAUUUGCAGAAGGAACAUUUGUAGAAGAUUCCCUGUUUUCCGAAGGAAUGUCAAGUUCCAAAGAAGAACGUCCGAGAAGAUUCAGUGUUUGGCAGAAGAAACCUCUGUCAGACGUGAACGUGUGACAGAAGGGCCAUCCAGGAAGAUUGCACACUGGGCAGAAAGAAGACUUAAGAACAUUGCAUGGACAGCAGAAGGAGUGCUUCGGGAGAUUGCCUGGUGGGCGCCAGGAACACCUGAGAUGAUGUCAUGGCAAACAGUGGAAAUGAGAGAAAGAUGAUGGAGCUGCUAAACCUUGCCCAUUUUGAUCUGUUAUGUGAGACUUGCCUUUCGCCUUCUGUCAUGAUUGUGAAGUGUCCCCAGCCAUGUGGAACUGACACAUAUUGCUUGUCUCUGAACUUCUCAGCUGCCUGCAGAUCUUCCUGUUUUUCAGCUGCAGUUAGGGUUUGUCUGAGGAGAAGCAUAACAUCCCUCCAGGCUUACCCUGGUUGCUCAGUGAAGAAUAAAGUACAGGGAACAUGAGAGAAUACAUGGGAGAUCAAUCAAGAUGCUACUUCAGUAAUCCAUGACAAUGACAACGUAAAGUAAUGCAAGGUGCACGUGAUGGGUAUGGCCAAAUGCUCCACAAAUAAAUGUGUUGAAUGAAUGAACAAAUGAAUAAGCGAAGUGAAUGGAACAUCAAACUGCAUAAAAAUAUAUUUAUUCAUAAAUGAGAGGUGAUGAUUGCCAACAUAUCAUAAUCAGACUCUGACCUUGGUUACUUAUGAGUUUGACAACGAAGAGGAAAGAGGAUCAGAAUGGAUCUACAUUUGUCCUGUGUCAAUGGCUAUCCAGAAGCGGUAACUUUGCUGGUGCACAGAAAGUGCCAGCUUAACGUGUGUGACGGUGAAAACACGACACCUCUGAUGAAGAUAUAUAGUAGCCAGUUAUUUCAGCAUGAGAUGGAUUUGGUUUAAAUACAUAGAAUAAAAAUGGAUUUAUUUCAUUGAAAUGUAACUAAUUUGUGAACCUAUGGAAUAUUUAUUUGUAUUUUCUAGAAUUUACAAUGUGUUUCUUGGUCUAAUACUGACAGGCUAUACAAUGCCAAGAAGAUGUUUAUGCAACUAUUCUGCUGGACUUUGGUGCCUAUCCAGAUAUUACAGAUAUCAACAGAAAAACUGCUCUCCACUGUGCUGUCUAUAGUGAGAAUAUGUCAGUGGUGGCAAAACUGCUUUCACACAACACAAACAUCUAAGUGAAAAAUGGAGUAGAGAAUAACCAACAUUAUUUUCAAAAUAUUUGAAAUCCAUUUGCUUUAACACUGACAUGCGUUAGGGUCAGUUUUUCAUAUUUGGAAGCUCAAGCAUGCUCUUCUGUGAAUGAAAAUAUUCUGAAGUAACUGUCUAAUAAUUUAAAUAUUAAUGUUUUUAAAGAAGUAUUAGACGGUAUAGCUUUCUUUCAUGCAUUUAUGAUAAAUAUUUAAAUUUAUUAAAGGUAAAAGUUUGUUUUUCAAAUAUUUUAGCCACUCAAGUUUUUGUUCUUUCUAAUUAGUGUAAAACAACACAGAAAAGCAAAAUGUGCCUGCAUAAACUGAGUCAACAUGUAAACCUUUUGAUAUUUAUUAUUAAAUAAGUUAUUUGGCAAUGUAUCAAAUUUUUAAAUGUGUGUCCCUUUUGACCUAGAAAUUCUACUCCCAGGAAUUUCUCCUAAGAAGAUAAUCAGAAAAGUUUACAAAGAUGAAUAGAAAAGAAGAGUCACUGCAGCCUUAUUUGUAAAAGUGAAAAAUAGCAACAGCCCAAAUGUCAUGAAUGGAGAAUUAAUAUAUGGUGCAUCCAUACAAAAAUACUGUGCAGCGAGUAAGCCAAUGAAGCCCAAAAUUUCUGACAUGGACAUUGACAUAGCAGAGUGACAAUAACGAGGUUAUAAAACAUCAUCAGUGAAAGGUCUAUUUGUACAAAUUAAUUUUUUGAGUGUAUACUUAGGGUAUAUAAAAUGUAUUUGGUUAAUGUCAAAAUAAUUAUCUUUGCUUAAGUAAAAUUUGGGGGCAAUUUAAAUUUUUUAAUAUAUUUUCUUAUAUUGACCAGUUUUCUUAAAAAGUAGAUACUAUUUUUAUAAUCAUACAACAGCAAGAGAGGAGCUCUCAUACCUUCUCCAUUCUUCUGUAUUACCUAUUACAUAGUGAAUUUUUUUCUAAAAUUAAUACUGAAUAAAAGUUUCCACAGCUUUAAAAUAAAGGCCUAAAAACCACUCUUUCAGAUUAGAUCCUGGGCAACUAAAAUUUUAAACACCUAAACAACACCAAGCACUUAAAGCUUGAGAACUUAAAUUUAAGAAAAAUGGUUGAACAAUUUUUG
Molecule: long non-coding RNA, 3185 nt
Filed under: Homo sapiens (human)
Lineage: Eukaryota; Metazoa; Chordata; Mammalia; Primates; Hominidae
Description: HSALNT0346959
Source: RNAcentral